CACUAUCGUUAACUGAAUACAUAGGUUAACGAGGCGAACCGGGGGAACUGAAACAUCUAAGUACCCCGAGGAAAAGAAAUCAACCGAGAUUCCCCCAGUAGCGGCGAGCGAACGGGGAGCAGCCCAGAGUCUGAAUCAGCUUGUGUGUUAGUGGAACGGUCUGGAAAGUCCGACGGUACAGGGUGAUAGUCCCGUACACCAAAAUGCACAGGUUGUGAACUCGAAGAGUAGGGCGGGACACGUGGUAUCCUGUCUGAAUAUGGGGGGACCAUCCUCCAAGGCUAAAUACUCCUGACUGACCGAUAGUGAACCAGUACCGUGAGGGAAAGGCGAAAAGAACCCCGGCGAGGGGAGUGAAAAAGAACCUGAAACCGUGUACGUACAAGCAGUGGGAGCACCUUCGGGUGUGACUGCGUACCUUUUGUAUAAUGGGUCAGCGACUUAUAUUCUGUAGCAAGGUUAACCGUAUAGGGGAGCCGCAGGGAAACCGAGUCUUAACUGGGCGUUAAGUUGCAGGGUAUAGACCCGAAACCCGGUGAUCUAGCCAUGGGCAGGUUGAAGGUUGGGUAACACUAACUGGAGGACCGAACCGACUAAUGUUGAAAAAUUAGCGGAUGACUUGUGGCUGGGGGUGAAAGGCCAAUCAAACCGGGAGAUAGCUGGUUCUCCCCGAAAGCUAUUUAGGUAGCGCCUCGUGAAUUCAUCUUCGGGGGUAGAGCACUGUUUCGGCUAGGGGGUCAUCCCGACUUACCAACCCGAUGCAAACUACGAAUACCGAAGAAUGUUAUCACGGGAGACACACGGCGGGUGCUAACGUCCGUCGUGAAGAGGGAAACAACCCAGACCGCCAGCUAAGGUCCCAAAGUCAUGGUUAAGUGGGAAACGAUGUGGGAAGGCACAGACAGCCAGGAUGUUGGCUUAGAAGCAGCCAUCAUUUAAAGAAAGCGUAAUAGCUCACUGGUCGAGUCGGCCUGCGCGGAAGAUGUAACGGGGCUAAACCAUGCACCGAAGCUGCGGCAGCGACACUAUGUGUUGUUGGGUAGGGGAGCGUUCUGUAAGCCUGCGAAGGUGACCUGUGAGGGUUGCUGGAGGUAUCAGAAGUGCGAAUGCUGACAUAAGUAACGAUAAAGCGGGUGAAAAGCCCGCUCGCCGGAAGACCAAGGGUUCCUGUCCAACGUUAAUCGGGGCAGGGUGAGUCGACCCCUAAGGCGAGGCCGAAAGGCGUAGUCGAUGGGAAACAGGUUAAUAUUCCUGUACUUGGUGUUACUGCGAAGGGGGGACGGAGAAGGCUAUGUUAGCCGGGCGACGGUUGUCCCGGUUUAAGCAUGUAGGCUGGUU
RNAcentral lists this ribosomal RNA (1338 nucleotides) under Klebsiella pneumoniae. RNAcentral describes it as "partial 23S ribosomal RNA". It matches the Rfam family "Bacterial large subunit ribosomal RNA", at positions 146 to 1530 of the family's 2925-position model. The record is from RNAcentral. Lineage: Bacteria; Pseudomonadati; Pseudomonadota; Gammaproteobacteria; Enterobacterales; Enterobacteriaceae.